UGGGGUAUAGCUCAGUGGUAGAGAGUGUGCUUAGCAUGCACGAGGUCCUGGAUUCAAACCAGGUGCUUCCA
RNAcentral lists this transfer RNA (71 nucleotides) under Camelus bactrianus (Bactrian camel). It matches the Rfam family "tRNA". From Rfam's summary of the family: Transfer RNA (tRNA) molecules are approximately 80 nucleotides in length. Lineage: Eukaryota; Metazoa; Chordata; Mammalia; Artiodactyla; Camelidae. RNAcentral also lists the same sequence under 2 other names. The record is from Rfam by way of RNAcentral.